GACGAACGCUGGCGGCGUGCUUAACACAUGCAAGUCGAACGGAAAGGCGCUGCUUUUGUGGGGUGCUCGAUUGGCGAACGGGUGAGUAACACGUGAGUAACCUGCCCUUGACUUUGGGAUAACUUCUGGAAACUGGGGCUAAUACCGGAUAGGAGCUCCUGCUGCAUGGUGGGGGUUGGAAAGUGUCGGCGGUUGGGGAUGGACUCGCGGCUUAUCAGCUUGUUGGUGGGGUAGUGGCUUACCAAGGCUUUGACGGGUAGCCGGCCUGAGAGGGUGACCGGCCACAUUGGGACUGAGAUACGGCCCAGACUCCUACGGGAGGCAGCAGUGGGGAAUAUUGCACAAUGGGCGGAAGCCUGAUGCAGCAACGCCGCGUGCGGGAUGACGGCCUUCGGGUUGUAAACCGCUUUCGCCUGUGACGAAGAGUGAGUGACGGUAAUGGGUAAAGAAGCACCGGCUAACUACGUG
Molecule: ribosomal RNA, 468 nt
Filed under: uncultured bacterium
Lineage: Bacteria
Description: partial 16S ribosomal RNA
Rfam family: Bacterial small subunit ribosomal RNA
Source: RNAcentral